GUGCUCGCUUCGGCAGCACAUAUACUAAAAUUGGAAUGAUACAGAGAAGAUUAGCAUGGCCCCUGCACAAGGAUGACACACAAAUUCGUGAAGCGUUCCAUAUUUUU
This is a small nuclear RNA of Panthera leo (lion), 107 nucleotides long. NCBI's taxonomy places the organism in Eukaryota, Metazoa, Chordata, Mammalia, Carnivora, Felidae. The record is from Ensembl.